This 73-nucleotide transfer RNA is filed under the name Paludibacteraceae bacterium. Its description in RNAcentral is "tRNA-Ala". It matches the Rfam family "tRNA". Rfam says of the family: Transfer RNA (tRNA) molecules are approximately 80 nucleotides in length. Their secondary structure includes four short double-helical elements and three loops (D, anti-codon, and T loops). Lineage: Bacteria; Pseudomonadati; Bacteroidota; Bacteroidia; Bacteroidales; Paludibacteraceae. The record is from RNAcentral.
GGGGUCGUAGCUCAUUUGGUAGAGCAUCUGCUUUGCACGCAGAGGGUAGCAGGUUCGAUUCCUGUCGGCUCCA